CGCAUNCAGCUAAGAUUNGUGGGGUAACGGCUCACCAAGGCGACAGAUACGUAGCCGACCUGAGAGGGGUAACGGCCACACUGUGGGAACUUGAAGACACGGGCCAAGGACUCCUACGGGGAGGCCAGC
Molecule: ribosomal RNA, 129 nt
Filed under: Paenibacillus sp. SLS_S14
Lineage: Bacteria; Bacillati; Bacillota; Bacilli; Caryophanales; Paenibacillaceae
Also listed under: 2 other names
Description: partial 16S ribosomal RNA
Source: RNAcentral